Cydia splendana is the source of this 327-nucleotide long non-coding RNA. RefSeq lists it as uncharacterized. Lineage: Eukaryota; Metazoa; Arthropoda; Insecta; Lepidoptera; Tortricidae. The record is from RefSeq and is a predicted model, not a curated record. The transcript is spliced from 2 exons.
CGCUGGUGGCCUAGCAGUAAGAGCGUGUGACUUUCAAUCCGGAGGUCGCGGGUUCAAAUCCUGGCUCGUACCAAUGAGUUUUUCGGAAUUUAUGUACGAAAUAUCAUUUGAUAUUUACCAGUUGCUUUUCGGUGAAGGAAAACAUCGUGAGGAAACCGGACUAAUCCUAAUUAAGGCCUAGUUUCCCCUCUGGGUUGGAAGGUCAGAUGGCAAUGGCAGUCGCUUUCGUAAAAACUAGUGCCUACGUCAAAUCAUGGGAUUAGUUGUCAAAGCGGACCCCAGGCUCCCAUGAGCCGUGGCAAAAUGCCGGGAUAACGCGAGGAAGAA